GGACAGUGUCCAAAAGAGGCCAAAGACAGAAAAAAGGAGGAGAGGGCCUGAGGAAGUCAUAGCGCACCAGCAAGGAAGGUCUUAUGUGAGGAAAAUUGGACAUGUGCAUAUGACAUGCUUAGUUUGUGGAGCUCGUGGACACAACAAACGACACCAUUCCUCAGCUCAUAACAUUUCGGAUGUAAGUAAAUCAGUUUAUUUUUCUUCACUGCAACUGAAUCAGGUUAAAAUAACCAUGUUCCAACGUUGUACCGUAAGAGUUAGUUGAUGCACCGUUGGAGCCGGUGAAAUCUGAACAAGCAAGAGGAAGGAGUGCAAGUGUAAGUAUAUCAUUCAUUUGGAGUUUGGCCUCUGUUAGAUUUCCCAUAAUAGGCUAUAACAUUUGUUAAUUUGUCAUGUAAGGAAAAUUGACCGCGAGUAAGGGGAGUGCUCCAUCUAGUAGCUGGACAACAGCUACAGCUUCGCAGCCGCAUACUGUGUGGGCAAUGGUGGACAGUUUCCAGGAAUUGGACGACUCCGAAGCAUCGCAGUCGAGGGCAGCUAGAAUGUCUUCCAGACGUAGUGCAAAAACGAUGGUUGCUACUUCUCACCAAAACUGAACGUGUUCCAACUACCAUGCUGUUUUUGUACUUGCAUAGGAGUUUUCUCUUUUGGAUAAUAUGGUGGUUUUUGUUUAAGGAAAUAUGUUUUGUUACAGUAGAAAAAGAUGGUUGGUUUUAGGAUGAUGUUGCAAACUGCACUUGUGUUACUUUUCUGGUUUUGAAUAUUUCUGCUAUUGUAAUGAAGGAGUUCGAUUAUGCAAAUAUAUGUAUUUUUGCUAUAUUUAUGAAAGCCUUUGUUUCGUGUUACUUCAAGUUGUUUAUUUUACACA
Molecule: long non-coding RNA, 871 nt
Filed under: Olea europaea subsp. europaea
Lineage: Eukaryota; Viridiplantae; Streptophyta; Magnoliopsida; Lamiales; Oleaceae
Source: RNAcentral